GGUUUGACAUGACGUCAUACAGAUUAGGGUUUUGAUAAAGCCUUUGCAACAGUGACUGCAAUCGAUGACGUGACGUCAUACAGAUUAAAGGUGUGAUAAAGCUUUUGCAACCGUGCUGAUAUCGAUAUCAUCACGGGUGGCUGAUACAGCACGCUUGCCAUUGAUUGUAUUACACAUACAAUUUAUCUGUAUUUACUACUAAGUAUAUAAUAAAUCUCGUUAUU
Molecule: long non-coding RNA, 224 nt
Filed under: Mytilus galloprovincialis (Mediterranean mussel)
Lineage: Eukaryota; Metazoa; Mollusca; Bivalvia; Mytilida; Mytilidae
Source: RNAcentral